GCAGUCGAACGAUGAUCUCCAGCUUGCUGGGGGGAUUAGUGGCGAACGGGUGAGUAACACGUGAGUAACCUGCCCUUGACUCUGGGAUAAGCGUUGGAAACGACGUCUAAUACCGGAUAUGACGACCGAUGGCAUCAUCUGGUUGUGGAAAGAAUUUUGGUCAAGGAUGGACUCGCGGCCUAUCAGGUAGUUGGUGAGGUAAUGGCUCACCAAGCCUACGACGGGUAGCCGGCCUGAGAGGGUGACCGGCCACACUGGGACUGAGACACGGCCCAGACUCCUACGGGAGGCAGCAGUGGGGAAUAUUGCACAAUGGGCGAAAGCCUGAUGCAGCAACGCCGCGUGAGGGACGACGGCCUUCGGGUUGUAAACCUCUUUUAGUAGGGAAGAAGCGAAGUGUUUUACAUGGAGUGACGGUACCUGCAGAAAAAGCACCGGCUAACUACGUGCCAGCAGCCGCGGUAAUACGUAGGGUGCAAGCGUUGUCCGGAAUUAUUGGGCGUAAAGAGCUCGUAGGCGGUUUGUCGCGUCUGCUGUGAAAACUGGAGGCUCAACCUCCAGCCUGCAGUGGGUACGGGCAGACUAGAGUGCGGUAGGGGAGAUUGGAAUUCCUGGUGUAGCGGUGGAAUGCGCAGAUAUCAGGAGGAACACCGAUGGCGAAGGCAGAUCUCUGGGCCGUAACUGACGCUGAGGAGCGAAAGCAUGGGGAGCGAACAGGAUUAGAUACCCUGGUAGUCCAUGCCGUAAACGUUGGGAACUAGAUGUAGGGGCCAUUCCACGGUUUCUGUGUCGCAGCUAACGCAUUAAGUUCCCCGCCUGGGGAGUACGGCCGCAAGGCUAAAACUCAAAGGAAUUGACGGGGGCCCGCACAAGCGGCGGAGCAUGCGGAUUAAUUCGAUGCAACGCGAAGAACCUUACCAAGACUUGACAUAUACGAGAACGGGCCAGAAAUGGUCAACUCUUUGGACACUCGUAAACAGGUGGUGCAUGGUUGUCGUCAGCUCGUGUCGUGAGAUGUUGGGUUAAGUCCCGCAACGAGCGCAACCCUCGUUCUAUGUUGCCAGCACGUUAUGGUGGGAACUCAUAGGAGACUGCCGGGGUCAACUCGGAGGAAGGUGGGGAUGACGUCAAAUCAUCAUGCCCCUUAUGUCUUGGGCUUCACGCAUGCUACAAUGGCCGGUACAAAGGGCUGCAAUACCGUAAGGUGGAGCGAAUCCCAAAAAGCCGGUCUCAGUUCGGAUUGAGGUCUGCAACUCGACCUCAUGAAGUCGGAGUCGCUAGUAAUCGCAGAUCAGCAACGCUGCGGUGAAUACGUUCCCGGGCCUUGUACACACCGCCCGUCAAGUCAUGAAAGUCGGUAACACCCAACGCCAGUGGCCUAACCCGUGAGGGAGGGA
RNAcentral lists this ribosomal RNA (1397 nucleotides) under Agreia sp. Its description in RNAcentral is "bacterial SSU rRNA". It matches the Rfam family "Bacterial small subunit ribosomal RNA". Lineage: Bacteria; Bacillati; Actinomycetota; Actinomycetes; Micrococcales; Microbacteriaceae. The record is from RNAcentral.